RNAcentral lists this ribosomal RNA (508 nucleotides) under uncultured bacterium. RNAcentral describes it as "bacterial SSU rRNA". It matches the Rfam family "Bacterial small subunit ribosomal RNA", at positions 29 to 514 of the family's 1533-position model. The record is from RNAcentral.
AGCGAACGUUAGCGGCGGGCCUAACACAUGCAAGUCGAACGCGAAAGGUCUUCGGACUGAGUAGAGUGGCGCACGGGUGAGUAACACGUAGGUAAUCUACCCUUUGGCGGGGGAUAACGUUCCGAAAGGAGCGCUAAUACCGCAUAAGACCACGGAGUCUCCGGACGCUGUGGGAAAAGGUGGCCUCUUCUUGAAAGCUACCACUGAAGGAUGAGCCUGCGUCCCAUCAGCUAGUUGGUAAGGUAAUGGCUUACCAAGGCGAAGACGGGUAGCUGGUUUGAGAGAAUGAUCAGCCACACUGGCACUGGAACACGGGCCAGACUCCUACGGGAGGCAGCAGUGAGGAAUAUUGGGCAAUGGGCGAAAGCCUGACCCAGCCACGCCGCGUGAGUGAUGAAGGCCCUCGGGUCGUAAAGCUCUGUGGAGAGGGACGAAAACCCUGGUUUCAAAUAGGCUCCAGGCUUGACGGUACCUCUUUAGCAAGCACCGGCUAACUCUGUGCCAGCAG